This is a long non-coding RNA of Mastomys coucha (southern multimammate mouse), 540 nucleotides long. RefSeq lists it as uncharacterized. The record is from RefSeq and is a predicted model, not a curated record. The transcript is spliced from 2 exons. Lineage: Eukaryota; Metazoa; Chordata; Mammalia; Rodentia; Muridae.
CAGAAUUCAAAACAGUUCCUGCAAAUUUGCCACUGGGUAUGGCAGCCAGGAGCCGACAUGAGAUAGAAAAGCACACAACAUGUGUGCCUUUUACUCGAUUGUGUUCCUUCUAUAACAUGAAAGAGUAAACUAAUGGAAUAAUGGCAGGUGCUGGUCCCACACAAGACAGAUGCUUCAAAGAAUGGAGUCCUUGGAUAGCAUCCCGCGAUGCCUCUCAAGAUUUCAGGCUUAAAUUGGUGGUCUCUCUUUUCUUAUCUGAAAACUGCAUUGAUUUACUAAUUAUUUGUUGAUUCAUUUCAAACUUCAUCUGUAAACUGGACAGAUGCAAUAAUUCUGUCAGCAAGAGAAAAAUUUAUGUCCUGUUCAACCUGGUACAUGUGUUUCUAUAAGCGGCCACUCUCCAAGUGUAGUAUGCAGGGGUAAGCACAGUAAAAUGCUAGUUUUCUGUUCCCUCUAGUCAAAAGACACCCAGUCUACAACCUAUUAAUAUAUGUACUAUAAAAAGCAUUCCAUAAUAAAAUAACUCUGUAAAAAAGUAAA